RNAcentral lists this ribosomal RNA (273 nucleotides) under uncultured bacterium. Its description in RNAcentral is "partial 16S ribosomal RNA". It matches the Rfam family "Bacterial small subunit ribosomal RNA", at positions 503 to 776 of the family's 1533-position model. The record is from RNAcentral.
CUGCCGCAGCAGCGACGGGGUAAUACGGGGAGCAGUGUUGUCGGAUUUACUGGGCGUAAAGGGCGCGUAGGCGGUCGUGACAAGUCACUUGUGAAAUCUCCGGGCUUAACUCGGAACGGUCAAGUGAUACUGUCGGACUAGAGUACAGAAGGGGCAACUGGAAUUCUCGGUGUAGCGGUGAAAUGCGUAGAUAUCGAGAGGAACACCUGCGGCGAAGGCGGGUUGCUGGGCUGACACUGACGCUGAGGCGCGAAAGCCAGGGGAGCGAACGGG